RNAcentral lists this ribosomal RNA (1313 nucleotides) under uncultured Alphaproteobacteria bacterium. RNAcentral's name for it is "uncultured alpha proteobacterium 16S ribosomal RNA". It matches the Rfam family "Bacterial small subunit ribosomal RNA", at positions 33 to 1393 of the family's 1533-position model. The record is from RNAcentral. Lineage: Bacteria; Pseudomonadati; Pseudomonadota; Alphaproteobacteria.
ACGCUGGCGGCACGCCUAACACAUGCAAGUCGAACGAAGUAGCAAUACUUAGUGGCAGACGGGUGAGUAACAUGUAGGUAUCUGCCCUUUGGCCUGGAAUAACACGAGGAAACUUGUGCUAAUACCGGAUAAGUCUUUACGGAGAAAGCUUUAUGCACCAUUGGAUGAGCCUGCACUUGAUUAGUUUGUUGGUGGGGUAAUGGCCUACCAAGACUGUGAUCAAUAGCUGAUUUGAGAGGAUGAUCAGCCACAUUGGGACUGAGACACGGCCCAAACUCCUACGGGAGGCAGCAGUGGGGAAUCUUGCACAAUGGAGGAAACUCUGAUGCAGCGAUGCCGCGUGAGUGAAGAAGGCCCUUGGGUUGUAAAGCUCUUUCGUCGGGGAAGAAAAUGACUGUACCCGAAUAAGAAGGUCCGGCUAACUUCGUGCCAGCAGCCGCGGUAAUACGAAGGGACCUAGCGUAGUUCGGAAUUACUGGGCUUAAAGAGUUCGUAGGUGGUUGAAAUAGUUGGUGGUGAAAUCCCAGAGCUUAACUCUGGAACUGCCAUCAAAACUUUUCAGCUAGAGUAUGAUAGAGGAAAGCAGAAUUUCUAGUGUAGAGGUGAAAUUCGUAGAUAUUAGAAAGAAUACCAAUUGCGAAGGCAGCUUUCUGGAUCAUUACUGACACUGAGGAACGAAAGCAUGGGUAGCGAAGAGGAUUAGAUACCCUCGUAGUCCAUGCCGUAAACGAUGUGUGUUAGACGUUGGAAAUUUAUUUUCAGUGUCGCAGGGAAACCGAUAAACACACCGCCUGGGGAGUACGACCGCAAGGUUAAAACUCAAAUGAAUUGACGGGGACCCGCACAAGUAGUGGAGCAUGUGGUUUAAUUCGAAGAUACGCGCAGAACCUUACCAACACUUGACAUGUUCGUCGCGACUCUAAGAGAUUAGAGUUUUCGGUUCGGCCGGACGAAACACAGGUGCUGCAUGGCUGUCGUCAGCUCGUGUCGUGAGAUGUUGGGUUAAGUCCCGCAACGAGCGCAACCCUCACUUUUAGUUGCCAUCAUUAAGUUGGGCACUCUGAAAGAACUGCCAGUGAUAAGCUGGAGGAAGGUGGGGAUGACGUCAAGUCCUCAUGGCCCUUACGUGUUGGGCUACACACGUGCUACAAUGGUAUCUACAACAGGAAGCAAGACUGCGAAGUUAAGCAAAUCCCUAAAAGAUACCUCAGUUCGGAUUGCACUCUGCAACUCGAGUGCAUGAAGCUGGAAUUACUAGUAAUCGUGGAUCAGCGUGCCACGGUGAAUGCGUUCCCGGGUCUUGUACACACCGC